AAAUAUACAUGUGUGUCAAUAUCUUAACAUGUCAAGGACUUGUGAUUAUGCCAGUGUGAGCAAUUUAUAUGCAUGCUGUUACAAGGGAAUCACUUUAAAAGACUGAUAUAUAUUAAUUUAAGGUCGCCAAGGAAUCAGCUAUGUAAUUCCUAAAUGAAAAACUCAAGUCAGCCGUCAGCCUUUUUGGAGUUUAAUUACAAUAGGAGCAAGAAAGGAAUUAGAGAUAUAUAGAGAGAGAGAAAGGGGAGAGAAGGGAAUAGGGCUUAAAUACCCCCUCUGUUUAGGCUGGGCCAAAAGGCCCAAGCCCUUAGAUAGCUGGGGCAAAGAAAAGAGAUCAGUCCCUUUCACUCACGUGUCCAAAAUGGAGAAACAGUCUCAGAGGCCCCCACCUUCAGCUUCCUCAGAGCAAGCUUUCUCAGAGCCCAGGAACCACACCGACCCAAAAACUCAACAACCACCUCCCGAGUCCCCAGGAACCACACCGACCCAAAAACUCAACAACCACCUCCCGAGUCUCCAGACCCUCCUAUCUUUAAGGAAACCAUCCAAGUUGCCUCCCCUCAGUCCUCACAUCUACCAAUCACUCUUCAUCAAUUUCCCUGUCAAUGGAGGCUCUCGCUUAACCCAGGACCGCCCAGAGGUUUCUGGCUUUUUGCACAUGUCUGUUGAAGGUCAUAUUUUCAAAUGAUUAAAUCUAUACUCCUUUGUUACAGCCCUUUCUAAAUCCUGUUAACUUGAGUAUGGUAGAGAUUGGAAUAAUUAAAUUUUGAUCUAGGCUGCAGUCCUUACUUGAUCCUAUUAGGACUGAAUAGAAUGGAGAUUUAUUCCAAGUAUCUCCAUUGUAUCAAUUCUAAAAUCAAUCAAGACUCAAGGAAAUUCCUGUUCUAUGCUUAAGCAUAGGUCAAAGUCCUUUCCAUUGUUCAGCAAAGGGUUUCUGUCCUAAAGUAAUCUUAAGAAGGGAAGAGAAGGAACCUCCCAUGCCAAUGGAGUUCCCAUUCCAAUAGACUAUCAGUAAGAAAUUUUCCAAGUAUGAAAUAUCCCAAUGGUGAAAUUUCCAACAUUUAUAAGUCUAAGGAAAUUUGAG
Molecule: long non-coding RNA, 1084 nt
Filed under: Monodelphis domestica (gray short-tailed opossum)
Lineage: Eukaryota; Metazoa; Chordata; Mammalia; Didelphimorphia; Didelphidae
Description: lncRNA (ENSMODG00000049795.1)
Source: RNAcentral